This 481-nucleotide ribosomal RNA is filed under the name uncultured bacterium. Its description in RNAcentral is "bacterial SSU rRNA". It matches the Rfam family "Bacterial small subunit ribosomal RNA", at positions 33 to 507 of the family's 1533-position model. The record is from RNAcentral.
GACGACGCUGGCGGCGUGCCUAACACAUGCAAGUCGAGCGGAGUCGAUCGACGGAAGCCUUCGGGCGGAAGAUGGUUGACUUAGCGGCGGAUGGGUGAGUAACGCGUGGGCAACCUGCCUCGAAGACCGGGAUAACAGCCCGAAAGGGCUGCUAAUACCGGAUGUGGUCAAGGAUCCGCAUGGAUUUUGAUUAAAGGGGAAACCCGUUUCGAGAUGGGCCCGCGUCCUAUCAGCUAGUUGGUGAGGUAAAAGCUCACCAAGGCGACGACGGGUAGCCGGCCUGAGAGGGUGACCGGCCACACUGGAACUGAGACACGGUCCAGACUCCUACGGGGGGCAGCAGCGGGGAAUCUUCCACAAUGGGCGAAAGCCUGAUGGAGCGACGCCGCGUGAGCGAAGAAGGCCUUCGGGUUGUAAAGCUCUGUCUAGAGGGACGAAGGAAGUGACGGUACCUCCGGAGGAAGCCACGGCUAACUACGUG